UACGUAUGGUGCAAGCGUUAUCCGGAUUUACUGGGUGUAAAGGGAGCGCAGGCGGCGCGCUAAGCCUGAUGUGAAAGCCCGCGGCCCAACCGCGGGACUGCAUUGGGAACUGGCGCGCUGGAGUGCCGGAGGGGUAGGCGGAAUUCCUAGUGUAGCGGUGAAAUGCGUAGAUAUUAGGAGGAACACCAGUGGCGAAGGCGGCCUACUGGACGGUGACUGACGCUGAGGCUCGAAAGCGUGGGGAGCAAACA
Molecule: ribosomal RNA, 251 nt
Filed under: uncultured bacterium
Lineage: Bacteria
Description: partial 16S ribosomal RNA
Rfam family: Bacterial small subunit ribosomal RNA
Source: RNAcentral